AAACGCUAAUCGGAUCAGGGUUAGUCGGGGCCUAAGGCGUAUUCGAAAGAAAAAGCCGAUGGAUAACAGGUUAAUAUUCCUGUACUUGUAUUAAUUGCGAUGGGGUGACGGAGUAGUGAACGAUCUGCGUACUUACGGAGUAGUACGUUAAAGCUUGUAGAUAUAGGUUUUGCAGGUAAAUCCGCAAGACUUGUCGAAGGUGAUAGUACCGCGAGCCCUCGGGCAAGUGGAUAAUGAUCUUAAUCAGACUUCCAAGAAAACCCUCUAAGCUUCAGAUUAAUACAACUCGUACCGCAAACCGACACAGGUAGUCGAGGAGAAUAUCCUAAGGUGCUCGAGUGAUCCGUGGCUAAGGAACUCGGCAAAUUGACCCUGUAACUUCGGGAGAAAGGGUGCCUCCGGUUAAACGGAGGCCGCAGUAAAAUGGCCCAGGCGACUGUUUAUCAAAAACACAGGGCUUUGCUAAAACGAAAGUUGACGUAUAAGGCCUGACACCUGCCCGGUGCUGGAAGGUUAAGAGGAGAGGUCAGGAGCAAUCCAAAGCUUUGAAUUGAAGCCCCAGUAAACGGCGGCCGUAACGAUAACGGUCCUAAGGUAGCGAAAUUCCUUGUCGGGUAAGUUCCGACCUGCACGAAUGGUGUAACGAUCUGGGCACUGUCUCAGCCACGAGCUCGGUGAAAUUGUAGUAUCGGUGAAGAUGCCGAUUACCCGCAACGGGACGGAAAGACCCCGUGCACCUUUACUAUAGCUUAACAUUGACUUUGGAUAAAUGAUGUGUAGGAUAGGUGGGAGGCAGUGAAGUGGGAUCGCUAGGUUCCAUGGAGUCAACCUUGAAAUACCACCCUUUAUUUAUUUGGAGUCUAACCCCGUUCUGCGGGGGACAUUGUUUGGUGGGUAGUUUGACUGGGGUGGUCGCCUCCAAAAGAGUAUCGGAGGCUUUCAAAGGUACCCUCAGCACGCUUGGUAACCGUGCGUAGAGUGCAAUAGCAUAAGGGUGCUUGACUGUAAGACUGACAAGUCGAGCAGGUACGAAAGUAGGAUAUAGUGAUCCGGUGGUUCCGCAUGGAAGGGCCAUCGCUCAUAGGAUAAAAGGUACGCCGGGGAUAACAGGCUGAUCUCCCCCAAGAGCUCAUAUCGACGGGGAGGUUUGGCACCUCGAUGUCGGCUCGUCACAUCCUGGGGCUGGAGAAGGUCCCAAGGGUUAGGCUGUUCGCCUAUUAAAGUGGCACGCGAGCUGGGUUCAGAACGUCGUGAGACAGUUCGGUCCCUAUCUGUUGUGGGCGUUGGAAGUUUGAGAGGACCUGACUCUAGUACGAGAGGACCGAGUCGGACAAGCCGCUAGUGUACCUGUUGUAGUGCCAACUGCACCGCAGGGUAGCUACGCUUGGAUGAGAUAAGCGCUGAAAGCAUCUAAGUGCGAAACUCACCUCAAGAUGAGACUUCCCUUAAGAGUCGUCAAAGACUAUGACGUUGAUAGGUUGCAAGUGUAAAGGCAGUAAUGUCAUAGCUGAGCAAUACUAAUUACUC
This 1527-nucleotide ribosomal RNA is filed under the name metagenome. RNAcentral's name for it is "bacterial LSU rRNA". It matches the Rfam family "Bacterial large subunit ribosomal RNA", at positions 1360 to 2910 of the family's 2925-position model. The record is from RNAcentral.